Antechinus flavipes (yellow-footed antechinus) is the source of this 1600-nucleotide long non-coding RNA. RefSeq lists it as uncharacterized. The record is from RefSeq and is a predicted model, not a curated record. The transcript is spliced from 3 exons. Lineage: Eukaryota; Metazoa; Chordata; Mammalia; Dasyuromorphia; Dasyuridae.
CCAGCAACAUAACCUUUGGCUCUGUUUCGACAGCCAGUCCCUUUCUCUGGAGGGCAAAAGGGGUUACCAGCUUUAGAGGGUGGCCAAAGAGAGACGUUCCUCAGCCUCACAUCUUGGUAAUCCACCUUUGCGGAUCACAGAGGAGACAUAAAUUUGACUCAAUUGGCUUUGAGUGUUCUGGGAACUGGUUUAUUUCUGGGCUCUAAACCAUGCUCUUCCAACUACUUGCUCAAACUGUAUACCAUCUUCUAGCUUAUUCCAAGACUCAGCACCCCUUGGCAUCUUCCCUCCUAAAUCUAGACCUCACUCAGCAGGGUCAGCUCUACUCCCCUUGUCAGUCUGAAGUAGUUACAGAAGUGGAUGGAGAAAAGGGUAGAGACUGAGAGAGAAUUUGGAACUCAAAAGAAGAAUGUAAAAAAAAGAAAAGAAAAGAAAAGUAUCCUUACUCAGAGGACUAUUAUUAUUAUCCCUGUUAAUCUCAGGAAACCUCAGUUCCCAGUAUUCAUCCUGAGAAGAUUAUCUAAGAAACACAGGAUCUUAGAAUAGAAGAAAACAAAUACAAUUGGCAAGCAAAAUCAGAGAUUAUUUUUAAAAAACACUCUGGGGGGAAAAAAGCAUUCCACCCACUUCUCAAUCAAUAAUUUACUGCCAGGUAAAUCUUAACCUCUUUUUGUUUUAUUAUACUUGAAUAGAAUCUUCUCUUCUCUCCUAAUCCAUUUUAUUAUCUCUGUGUGGGUAGGAGAGAAAUAAAAUUUACGUUUAAUUGUUUCCAUCGUAUCUAUAUCAUCUCCCAUGGUUCUCAGAUACAGACUGACUUCUCUAAAAGUUCUGAGUAAUUUCUAGCUACUUAUGCAAUCUAAAGAUAAGUUCCUAUUCUUGAUUGGACUUUUAACUGCUUUUCAAUGAUGCCUUUGACUUUUUGCUUUAUCCUCUGACUUCGGAAUGUAAAUGUGCUAUCAGAUGUGACUGUAUUUCUUUUUUUUUAAUUAAAACUCUUUAUUUUCAAAAUAUAUUCAUGUAUAAUUUUCAACAUUCACCCUUGUAAAACAUUGCAUUCCAAUUUUUUCCCUCUCUUUCUCCCACUCCCUACCCUAGAUAACAAGUAAUCCAAUAUAUGUUAAACGUGCAAUUUUUCUAUACAUAUUUCCACAAAUAUCAUGCUGUACAAGAAAAAUCAAAUCAAAAAGGAAAAAAAAUGAGAAAGAAACAAAAUGCAACCAAACAACAAUAAAAAGGAAUGAAAAUGUUAUGUUGUUAUACACACUGCUUUCCCAUUGUCCUCUCUCUGGGUGCAGAUGACUUAUUUCAUCACAAAAUCAUUAAAACUGGUCUGAAUCAUCUCAUUGUUGAAAAGAGCCACAUGCAUCAGAAUCAUUAUGUUACUGUAUAAUCUUGCUGUUUCCCUGUAUAAUGAUCUCCUGGUUUUUCUCAUUUCAUUUAGUAUCAGUUCCUGUAAAUCUCUCCAGACCUCUCUGAAGUCAUUCAGGUGAUCAUUUCUUAUAGAACAAUAAUAUUCCAUAAAAUUCGUAACCCAUAACUUAUCCAGCCAUUCUCCAACUGUCAGUUAUCCACUCAGUUUCCUAUUUUUUCUUUCUACAAU